GUACACGCUGUGACUAGCAUAUCAAUAAGCGGAGGAAAAGAAACUAACAAGGAUUCCCCUAGUAACGGCGAGUGAAGCGGGAAGAGCUCAAAUUUGAAAUCUUAAAGGGUUUCCCUUUACGAAUUGUAGUUUAAAGAAGUGUUUUCUGUUGAGGUUUUGGUAAAAGUUCUUUGGAAUAGGACAUCAUAGAGGGUGAGAAUCCCGUAUUUGACCUUUACUUUCAACUUUGUGAUACACUUUCAAAGAGUCGGAUUGUUUGGGAAUGCAGUCCAAAAUGGGUGGUAAAUUUCAUCUAAAGCUAAAUAUUGGCGAGAGACCGAUAGCGAACAAGUACCGUGAGGGAAAGAUGAAAAGAACUUUGAAAAGAGAGUUAAACAGUACGUGAAAUUGUCAAAAGGGAAGCGUUUGACACCAGUGUUGUUUUUCUGAAAAUCAAUUAAAGAACUGUUUAUGCUAAGCUGUUUAGACUUUAUCAGCUAAUCUGUUUAGUUUUGAGCUUUUCUUUAAUGCACUUUUCAGCUAACAAGUCAACAUCAAUUUCUUUUGCUGUAAAAAAGCUUGAGGAAGGUGGCUUGAGAUUCGUCUUAAGUGUUUAUAGCCUCUUGCCUAUGCAGUCGGAGAGAUUGAGGUCUGCAGCGUAGAUCCUUCGGGGCUAAAUGCAUUUGUGCUAAGUUAUAGCAUUUCAUAGACAACUUGUUGACUAUGAUUUGUCUUGUAGCUUACUCGCUUAUGUUAUUUUACCUACGCUUAGGAUGUUGACGCGCGUGUGUGCGUG
RNAcentral lists this ribosomal RNA (775 nucleotides) under uncultured Neocallimastigales. RNAcentral's name for it is "partial large subunit ribosomal RNA". It matches the Rfam family "Eukaryotic large subunit ribosomal RNA", at positions 22 to 639 of the family's 3401-position model. The record is from RNAcentral. Lineage: Eukaryota; Fungi; Neocallimastigomycota; Neocallimastigomycetes; Neocallimastigales.